CCUACGGGGGGCAGCAGUCGAGAAUCAUUCACAAUGGGGGAAACCCUGAUGGUGCGACGCCGCGUGGGGGAAUGAAGGUCUUCGGAUUGUAAACCCCUGUCAUGUGGGAGCAAAUUAAAAAGAUAGUACCACAAGAGGAAGAGACGGCUAACUCUGUGCCAGCAGCCGCGGUAAUACAGAGGUCUCAAGCGUUGUUCGGAAUCACUGGGCGUAAGGCGUGCGUAGGCUGUUUCGUAAGUCGUGUGUGAAAGGCGCGGGCUCAACCCGCGGACGGCACAUGAUACUGGGAGACUAGAGUAAUGGAGGGGGAACCGGAAUUCUCGGUGUAGCAGUGAAAUGCGUAGAUAUCGAGAGGAACACUCGUGGCGAAGGCGGGUUCCUGGACAUUAACUGACGCUGAGGCACGAAGGCCAGGGGAGCGAAAGGGAUUAGAUACCCUUGUAGUC
RNAcentral lists this ribosomal RNA (446 nucleotides) under uncultured bacterium. Its description in RNAcentral is "partial 16S ribosomal RNA". It matches the Rfam family "Bacterial small subunit ribosomal RNA", at positions 338 to 795 of the family's 1533-position model. The record is from RNAcentral.